UGGGGAAUAUUGGACAAUGGGCGAAAGCCUGAUCCAGCCAUGCCGCGUGUGUGAAGAAGGCCUUUUGGUUGUAAAGCACUUUAAGCGAGGAGGAGGCUACUUGGAUUAAUACUCUAGGAUAGUGGACGUUACUCGCAGAAUAAGCACCGGCUAACUCUGUGCCAGCAGCCGCGGUAAUACAGAGGGUGCGAGCGUUAAUCGGAUUUACUGGGCGUAAAGCGUGCGUAGGCGGCUACUUAAGUCGGAUGUGAAAUCCCUGAGCUUAACUUAGGAAUUGCAUUCGAUACUGGGAAGCUAGAGUAUGGGAGAGGAUGGUAGAAUUCCAGGUGUAGCGGUGAAAUGCGUAGAGAUCUGGAGAAAUACCGAUGGCGAAGGCAGCCAUCUGGCCUAAUACUGACGCUGAGGUACGAGAGCAUGGGGAGCAAACAGG
This 430-nucleotide ribosomal RNA is filed under the name Acidobacteriota bacterium. Its description in RNAcentral is "Acidobacteria bacterium partial 16S ribosomal RNA". It matches the Rfam family "Bacterial small subunit ribosomal RNA", at positions 355 to 776 of the family's 1533-position model. The record is from RNAcentral. Lineage: Bacteria; Pseudomonadati; Acidobacteriota.